GAUGAACGCUAGCGGCAGGCUUAACACAUGCAAGUCGAGGGGCAACACGGGUAGCAAUACCUGGUGGCGACCGGCGCAAGGGUGCGUAACGCGUGAGCAACAUACCCUAUACAGGGGGAUAAUCCAGGGAAACUUGGUCUAAUAUCCCAUAGGAUUUACAGAUGUCAUCAUCUAUAAAUUAAAGCUUCGGUGGUAUAGGAUUGGCUCGCGUGACAUUAGCUAGAUGGUGGGGUAACGGCCUACCAUGGCCAUGAUGUCUAGGGGUUCUGAGAGGAAGACCCCCCCAACUGGGACUGAGACACGGCCCAGACUCCUACGGGAGGCAGCAGUGAGGAAUAUUGGACAAUGGAUGGAAAUCUGAUCCAGCCAUGCCGCGUGCAGGAACGACGGCCCUAUGGGUUGUAAACUGCUUUUAUAUGGGAGCAAUAAGGUCUACGCGUAGACCGAUGAGAGUACCAUAUAGAAUAAGCAUCGGACUAACUCCG
This 485-nucleotide ribosomal RNA is filed under the name uncultured bacterium. Its description in RNAcentral is "bacterial SSU rRNA". It matches the Rfam family "Bacterial small subunit ribosomal RNA", at positions 28 to 505 of the family's 1533-position model. The record is from RNAcentral.